Oncorhynchus tshawytscha (Chinook salmon) is the source of this 6036-nucleotide long non-coding RNA. NCBI's taxonomy places the organism in Eukaryota, Metazoa, Chordata, Actinopteri, Salmoniformes, Salmonidae. The record is from Ensembl.
GGUGGCUCUCCCAUAGGCACCAAUGCAUUAGCAGCUGGGUCUGCUCUGCUUAGUUCACUGACUCUAUAUGAGCUUUCCUUCUCCAGCUUCUGACCCGACCGACACUGUUGAAGUCUUUAACCAAAGAGAGCCAGGCCCUUCCUUUAAUCAACUCCAAACAGGAAAUUGUUUCAGAGUAUCCUUUCUACCGCCAUCUGUGGGUGAUUGUGUGGUAGUUUUAUCUGAACCACAUUAAAUGCCCUCUAAUCUGACAUUUAGUUGGCAGUUAGUGACAGUUCAAGAUAUUACAAGAGAAGGAAACAAUUAGGGAGGGAAAAUAAAUAACAUUGUAUACAACAAUAUCCAUUUAUUCUUUAAAUAUUUCAUAAAUACUUUGAUAUAGCUAUAUUUUAGAAUAGAUUGAGAACACAGGACAAGACAAUCAUUUGAAAUAAAUAUCUUAAGUAUAUAAUACGAUAUAUUUCAGAGUCACACAGAGGAAAAAAUAUAUGUCGAUGGAACCAUGAUUGAAUAUGAACAAAUGCAUGUGAACAAAUGCUGAUGUUAAUAUAUAUUUGGAGAAAUAAAAUAUCAAAAUAUAAUAUAUUAUAUUAUCUAGGCCAUAAUGUCACUUCCACCUGAGGAGUCUGGUGGGAGGAGCUAUAGGAGGACAGGCUCAUUGUAAUGACAUCAAUGGAACAGAGUGAAACAUGGUUCCAUUCCAGCCAUUACAAUGAGCCUGUCUUCCUAUAGCUCCUCCCACCAGCCUCCACUGCUAACCACCCCUGGGGGCCCCUGCAUUUGACACACACACUUCUGAAUAUCUCACAGCUCCACCAUACAGCAUGUUAUCUUUAUUUAACUAGGCAAGUCAGUUAAGAACACAUUCUUAUUUUCAAUGAUGGCCUAGGAACAGUGAGUUAACUGCCUUGUUCAGGGGCAGAACGACAGCCUUUUUUUUACCUUGUCAGCUCGGGGAUUUGACCUUGCAACCUUUCAGUUACUUGUCCAACGCUCUAACCACUAGGCUACCUGCCGCCCCUAGAAUGUGGAUAGGACUAGGACUAGUUUAUGGAAAGGUUAUUCCCAGAGCCAGAACAACACAGAUCCAGCUAUCCUCCAUAACAUGUAAGAAAUAUAACUAAACUAGAAACAUAUUUCAUUGCGACGAACAUCAUCACGCGUUAGCUAUGAGUUGGCAGUCAUCUAAAAAUAUCAUUUUCUGAUUAUGUUUAAAGCAGUACAGUGUGCUCACCGGUACUACACAUUGUAAUUGACAAUGAAAUAGAACUCAGGUCUCCAAAUUCUGGUGACUUUCCUCAAACUCCUGAUAUACUAGUUGGAAGAGUCAAGGAAUCCGAAAGUAAUAAACAAGAAAUCCGGGAAUCCUCCAACCAAGAUUUCUGGAAAACCUGGUUAUUUUGGAAAAGUUAGACAUUUUGCGAUCCUAAAUAGAUCGCUCACCCAAAACAGUUCCAGUUGGAAGUAGAGCACUUCAACAGUACAUUACAUGGGACAAACUGCAGAAUGCAGAUGACUUUGGAAUAUAUGGCACGUUUGAUGAAUAAGUCUCCAUGCCAACCUCCCAGAAAGCAUCUGCACAAGGACAGCUCCGCAGCAGAGAGCAUUGGCACUACACACACAGACAGACACUGACCGUUAGCACUGACAAGACAACACAUGUCCACAGGGACACCAGAAUAUGUCGCCUACAGUAUAAUUGGCUUAUACAGUAUAAUAGACUUUUGUAAUAUCCCCCUGGGUUCUAGAAUGAACUAUAGUGAUAUUAUCAUUGAAAUAGAAUCCCCUCUAACGAUAUGGGCACUAUAGAUCUGAUAACCAGCACUAUAGAUCUGAUAACCAGGGAACUACACAGCAGUAUAUUUAGAUCACACACAGAAGCAGACACAGCUAUGAGACCGACUCACAGUGCAAUAGUCAUAUGUGCAUUAUGGCACCUAUUCAUAUCACUACUAAUGCUUCUGCACUGAUGCCGUCAAACAGGGGGAAAUGGUAGAAGAUAUUCAGGAUUCUUUCUUUCACAUAUAACUGAGUGUACAAACCAUUAGGAACACCUGCUCUGACCAGGUGAAUCCAGGUGAAAGCUAUGAUCCCUCAUAAAUCCACUUCAGUCAGUGUAGAUGAAGGGGAGGAGAGGUUAAAGAAUGAUUUUUAAGCCUUGAGACAAUUGAGACAUGGAUUGUGUAUGUGUGCCAUUCAGAGGGUAAAUAGGCAAGACUAAUGAUUUAAGUGCCUUUCAAGGGGAUAUGGUAGUAGCUGCCAGGGGCACCGGUUUGUGUCAAGAACUGCAACGCUUCUGGGUUUUUCACACCCAACAGUUUCCCAUGUGUAUCAAGAAUGGUCCACCACCCAAAGGACAUCCAGCGAACAUGACACAACUGUGGGAAGCAUUGGAGUCAACAUGGGCCAGCAUCCCUGUGGAACGCUUUCCACAACUUUAGAGUCCGUGCCUCGACGAAUUGAAGCUGUUUUGAGGGGGAAAAGGGUGUGCAACUCAAUAUUAGGAAGUUGUUCCUAAUGUUUUUUUACACAGUUUAGUUCAUAACUACAUCCUCAUUUCACUGAUCUGGUGCAAAACCAACAUUAACCAGAAGAUAGUAGACUGCAGCACACCCAUCUCAGGUUUGGACUGUACCAAGCCCCAUGGCACAUAAGAGGACCUCAGUCAGGGAACAGACCAUUAUUAAGGAGCUGGAGGGGUCCUCCCAGUUCUCUAGUUUAAGGCAUAAGUUGAACAAGGAGGUAUCCUAACUGCUACAACUCAGAAUCAGGGAUCUUGUUGCCAUAAUGUUUUGAGGACUAGAAACCUUUCUUCAAGACAUUGAAAACACAACAAUAAAAAGCAUCAUUAUAAACUCUAUGACACUACUGGGACAUACUAAUAAUACCUCGGUGCCCAUAACCAGUUACCUAUUCUUUAUGCAUGAUGCUUUCAGUACGACAGAAGGUCAGUAUUACGUUGGAGGCUAUUCAAAACAGAACCUGGAUUUGAUUACACAUAAAACAACAUUCAUCCACUGGGCCAAAACUGGUUGUAUCAACAUUGUUUCCACCUCAUUUCAACCAAAAUAAUCACCGUGAUGACGUUGAAUCAACUUAUUUUUACCCAACUUUUAACCGUUGAAGUGACUUAUGACGGCUCAAUCUGAAAUUACCUUCACAUUUCAAGCGUGCUACAAUGCUGAACCUCAGCUAUAUGGAGACCCUAAUUUUACUUCAGUUGAUGUUAGGAUUGUCUUCCAAGUAUGACCUGCCCCACUUAUAGCGCUUUGGACUCUUCUCAUCUAACAGACUCAACGUCCAUAAAGAACCUCUUCUCAUCUAACAGACUCAACCUCCAUAAAGAACCUCUUCUCAUCUAACAGACUCAACCUCCAUAAAGAGCCUCUUCUCAUCUAACAGACUCAACCUCCAUAAAGAACCUCUUCUCAUCUAACAGACUCAACCUCCAUAAAGAACCUCUUCUCAUCUAACAGACUCAACCUCCAUAAAGAACCUCUUCUCAUCUAACAGACUCAACCUCCAUAAAGAGCCUCUUCUCAUCUAACAGACUCAACGUCCAUAAAGAACCUCUUCUCAUCUAACAGACUCAACCUCCAUAAAGAACCUCUUCUCAUCUAACAGACUCAACCUCCAUAAAGAGCCUCUUCUCAUCUAACAGACUCAACCUCCAUAAAGAACCUCUUCUCAUCUAACAGACUCAACCUCCAUAAAGAGCCUCUUCUCAUCUAACAGACUCAACCUCCAUAAAGAACCUCUUCUCAUCUAACAGACUCAACUUCCACAGGAAAAUAACAACCACUCAGUGUGUCAAUUGUCAAUAAAUCAAACCUAGAAACCCCAAGAGGAUAAAUAUUUUAUAAAUAAUUAUGUCAAUCUAUCCAUCUAUUAAUAAAUAAACAUUCUGGUUUUCCCCCCUUUUUCUCACAAAAAAAGGCAAAGGUUGAGUCAUGCGUCCUCUGAAACAUUAGCAGCCAAACCACGCUCCUUAACACCCACCCACUUAACCCGGAGGCCAGAUGCACCAAUGUGUCAGAGGAAACACCGUUUAACUGACUUCUAAUGUCAGCCUGCAGGUGCCCGGCCCGCCACAAGGAGUCACUAGAGCACAAUGAGCCAAGUAAAGCCCCCCCCGGCCCAACCCUCCCCUAACCCAGACCACGCUGGGCCAAUUGUGCACCGCCCUAUGGGACUCCAGGUCACGGCUGGUUGUGACACAGCCUGGGAUCGAACCCGGGUCUGUAGUGACGCCUCACUGCGAUGCAGUGCCCUAGACCGCAGUGUGGCCACCUGGGAGGCCACUAAUAUAUUAUCCUAAUGACAAACAUACUAUGCCUCUCUGCAAUACUUUGACAAUUAUAUAUAUUAAAUCUUUCUUUAAAAUAGUCUUCAGGAUUAAAUAUAAUACAUUUCAUAAUAUUAUAUAAUAUCAUAGCUAAUGUACAUUUAAUUUCUCUAGUCAACAGUUUACCCUUCAGCAGAUUCACUGUAAACAGUUCUUGGGAGGUGACAAGGUCAACCAAAAGGUAAACAGAUGUCUGUUUGUAGCAGCCAAUGGCUGGAAACACUCUCCCUUCUCUUUUCAAUAGACCACAACAAAUAGAAUGUGAUCUACCUAGCAACAGUAACAGUCCCACUUGAUCACCUGUUGGGACUCCAUGGAUUAAUCCACCCUGACGUGUGAAGAAGGCAUGUUGAUUCUGCAUUUGAUUUGAAUACUUUGGUAUGAGAUGGGUUAAAAUGUCAGAGGUGAGGAUGUACUGUCACUGGUACUGUAGACAUAGUGAAGUAUGGAUUUCAUCUUGGUGCUCUAACAGGACAGAAGAGAGCAGAGAGAGAAGGGGAGAGAGGGGCAGGGGAGUGGGCAAGAGGAGAACACUAACAGGUAUUGGUCCUUGGCCCUGUUCUAAUACUCUAAAGAUGCAUGUUUCCUCCCUUCUUUUUCUUGAGGUAAUCACUAAUCUAAUGUGAUUGGAUAGGUGAGAGCAAGGAUUCUACUGCACUGAUUUCACCAGUCAUUUUAUGUCAGAUCAGAUCAAGGAAGGGAGGAUGCAUUUUUAUUUUUAGAGUAUUCCAACAGGUUCAUUUUUCAAGCGCCCUCUGACCUCCGUUAGCUAGAAGGUUAUCAGGCAGCUCAAUGUCUAAACACAGACUCCAAAGAUAUAGAAGGGGACCGACACAGAGUAGCUACCCUGCCAGGGUCAUAACUAGGGCCAGGAGUUUCCCCAGCCGGACCUUGUGAUUUAACCUAAAGGGUCAAAACUCCGGGCCCUAGUUAUAGCCUACGUCUGUAGUUUAGAACCUUGUAACUAGGGCCAGGACUUUUUCCUAGUGCGGUCACGCAAGUUCAGUCAGGGAAAAACUCCUGGCCCUAGUUAUAACGUUACGUUUCGAGUUUUGUUACUGAAAUGUUAACAAAACGUUACUGAAACGUUACAGGGACGCUUCUCAGACGUGGGACUCAUCCAGGUCCAGGUCGACUGGGGAGAUGGGGAGGGGGGAGCGGCGGGGGGCAGGGCGGGGGGAGUGGUGUGGGGCCAGGGCGGGCAAGCGGCGGGGGAGAGCAGGGGGCGAGUAGGGGGUUCUCUGUGCCCCCAUUGUCCUCUGAAAUGUGGAGGAGGGUGUCUGCGUUCCUCCCCAGCAGGGCAGUCGUGUCCUCGUCCUCGGGGCUCUCGGGGUCUGAUGGGAGGACGGACCAGGAUGGAAGAGGUGGGUGGGGGGAGCGGGGGUCGGAUCCCCAGGAUCGGCAGAGGGGGAGGGGAGAACAGGUGCGAGAGAUGGAGAGAGGUGGAGGAGGGAGAGGAGAGCAGGAGGAGGGUGGGGUGGGGGUGGAGGCGCGGGAGAUGGGGAGAGGUGGAGGAGGGAGAGGAGAGCAGGAGGAGGGUGGGGUGGGGGUGGAGGCGCGGGAGAUGGGGAGAGGUGGAGGAGGGAGAGGAGAGCAGGAGGAGGGUGGGGUGGGGGAGAUGGAGGGCCGAGGAGAGAGGCUGCUGCGGAGGCCCCACUGUUCUCGUUUCUCCUUGCUCUCCAUCGAUAACU